CAAUAGCGUAUAUUAAAGUUGUUGCGGUUAAAAAGCUCGUAGUUGGAUUUCUGCCGAGGACGUCCGGUCCGCCCUCUGGGUGAGUACAUGGCACGGCCUGGGCAUCUUCUUGGGGAACGUAUCUGCACUUGACUGUGUGGUGCGGUAUCCAGGACUUUUACUUUGAGGAAAUUAGAGUGUUUCAAGCAGGCACACGCCUUGAAUACAUUAGCAUGGAAUAAUAAGAUAGGACCUCGGUUCUAUUUUGUUGGUUUCUAGAGCUGAGGUAAUGAUUAAUAGGGAUAGUUGGGGGCAUUCGUAUUUAACUGUCAGAGGUGAAAUUCUUGGAUUUGUUAAAGACGGAUUACUGCGAAAGCAUUUGCCAAGGAUGUUUNCAUUGA
This 380-nucleotide ribosomal RNA is filed under the name uncultured eukaryote. Its description in RNAcentral is "partial 18S ribosomal RNA". It matches the Rfam family "Eukaryotic small subunit ribosomal RNA", at positions 592 to 976 of the family's 1831-position model. The record is from RNAcentral.